RNAcentral lists this transfer RNA (73 nucleotides) under Ovis aries (sheep). It matches the Rfam family "tRNA". From Rfam's summary of the family: Transfer RNA (tRNA) molecules are approximately 80 nucleotides in length. Lineage: Eukaryota; Metazoa; Chordata; Mammalia; Artiodactyla; Bovidae. The record is from Rfam by way of RNAcentral.
UUCUUGGUGGUCCAGUGGUUAGGACCCUGUACUUUCAAUGCAGGGGGUGUGAGUUCAACCCCUGUCAGGGAAC